Long non-coding RNA from Clupea harengus (Atlantic herring), 421 nucleotides. The record is from Ensembl. NCBI's taxonomy places the organism in Eukaryota, Metazoa, Chordata, Actinopteri, Clupeiformes, Clupeidae.
UUAUAGAUACUGGAGUUGGUGCUGUUGCUAUAGAUACUGGAGUUGGUACUGUUGCUAUAGAUACUGGAGUUGGUGCUGUUGCUAUAGAUACUGGAGUUGGUGCUGCUGUUGCUAUAGAUACUGGAGUUGGUGAUGUUGCUAUAGAUACUGGAGUUGUUGGUGCUGCUGUUGCUAUAGAUACUGGAGUUGGUGCUGUUGCUUUAGAUACUGGAGUUGGUGCUGUUGCUAUAGAUACUGGAGUUGUUGGUGCUGCUGUUGCUAUAGAUACUGGAGUUGGUGCUGUUGCUAUAGAUACUGGAGUUGGUGCUGUUGCUAUAGAUACUGGAGCUGGUGCUGUUGCUAUAGAUACUGGAGUUGCUGCUGUUGCUAUAGAUACUGUUGCUAUAGAUACUGGAGUUGGUGCUGUUGCUAUGGAUACUGG